Balaenoptera musculus (blue whale) is the source of this 107-nucleotide small nuclear RNA. The record is from Ensembl. Lineage: Eukaryota; Metazoa; Chordata; Mammalia; Artiodactyla; Balaenopteridae.
GUGCCCCCUUUGAUGGCAUAUAUACUAAAAUUGGAAUGACACGGAAAAGAUUAGCACGGCCCCUGUGCAAGGAUGACAUGCAAAUUUGUGAAGUAUUUCACAUUUUU